UUGGUGGUGGAACAAAGGAUGAUGGUUGCUCAGUUGGUUUUGGAACGGAGGAUGAUGGUCGCUCAGUUGGUGGUGGCAGGAAUUUGCUUAGUAAUUCGUUGACCCAAGCAAGUUUUUCUCCCCACAUAGGUAGGCAAAUAGUUGGUUUAGGUGUUUGCUGAACCAACUCUAUGGUAGGAGGACAAAUGUUAGGGGGAAAAACUUUCACUACGUUUCGAUGGACGAUAUUCAGAUAGUGGGUUGCUCGAUUUGGACUGAAACAAUGUACCUAAAGAAAACAUACAUUAACAAUAUCAAUUCUAUCAAUCAAUACACAUUAAAAGUUAUAUUACUUUAGUUGACGUAUGUAUGUCUUACAAGAUUCAGUAUCAUAACGGAACCAAUUCGAAUUUUAUCUUUAUGUUCAGGAUCUUGAAGAACUUUCUUGUGUAAUGAAGCCUUGAUUGUCCC
This 450-nucleotide long non-coding RNA is filed under the name Vigna radiata. RNAcentral's name for it is "long non-coding RNA (VRAD_LNC011430)". The record is from RNAcentral. Lineage: Eukaryota; Viridiplantae; Streptophyta; Magnoliopsida; Fabales; Fabaceae.